Molecule: ribosomal RNA, 429 nt
Filed under: Chloroflexota bacterium
Lineage: Bacteria; Bacillati; Chloroflexota
Description: Chloroflexi bacterium partial 16S ribosomal RNA
Rfam family: Bacterial small subunit ribosomal RNA
Source: RNAcentral
UGGGGAAUAUUGCACAAUGGGCGCAAGCCUGAUGCAGCCAUGCCGCGUGUGUGAAGAAGGCCUUCGGGUUGUAAAGCACUUUCAGCGGGGAGGAAGGCGGUGAGGUUAAUAACCUCAUCGAUUGACGUUACCCGCAGAAGAAGCACCGGCUAACUCCGUGCCAGCAGCCGCGGUAAUACGUAGGGUGCAAGCGUUAAUCGGAAUUACUGGGCGUAAAGCGCACGCAGUCGGUCUGUCAUGUCGGAUGUGAAAUCCCCGGGCUGAACCUGGGAACUGGAUGUGAAACAGGCGGGGUGGAGGCUUGUAGAGGAGGGUAGGAUUCCAGGUGGAGCGGUGAAAUGCGAAAAGCUCUGGAGGAAUACCGGGUGCGAAGGCGGCCCCCUGGACAAAGACUGACGCUAAGGUGUGAAAGCGUGGGGAGCAAACAGG